RNAcentral lists this small RNA (50 nucleotides) under Sinorhizobium meliloti 2011. Its description in RNAcentral is "putative ncRNA". Lineage: Bacteria; Pseudomonadati; Pseudomonadota; Alphaproteobacteria; Hyphomicrobiales; Rhizobiaceae. The record is from RNAcentral.
GAUUUCCGAGCUGGUCUUGCCGGCGGCCGUCCAGCUCAGACACUGGAUUU